CGCGAUUACCCUCGUUGGAUAGAGAUCCUCUGGCACGAUAUCAAUGUCCACAUUCCGCAUCAUGUUUCUUCAAGGAUACCAAGUUAUAAUCUACGAGCAGCCCAUAGGUAGAUUCAAGAGAAUUGGGGACCGCGUCUGAACGAAGCUACAUGGAAUUGGCGAUUGAUGAAGACGAUAAUGAUAGUGUGCCAUGUUUAUAACAAGGAG
Long non-coding RNA from Hibiscus syriacus, 207 nucleotides. RefSeq lists it as uncharacterized. The record is from RefSeq and is a predicted model, not a curated record. The transcript is spliced from 3 exons. Lineage: Eukaryota; Viridiplantae; Streptophyta; Magnoliopsida; Malvales; Malvaceae.